AUGCAUGCAAAUGAGCCUGCUCUGGCACCCUGAGCACUGAGGUGUGCAGCUGGCAGUCACCGGCCCAGGCUGCGAGGAGACUUCCCUGGCUCCCAGAGCCCCGUGGAGUAGCUCAGAAAUCUUCCUCCCUUCCAGCCAGUGUCCCCAUAGAGUUGGGAUCCUUGUUUCCUGUCUACUAGGUGGAUUUUGAUAAAUGCCUCCCAAUGGGCUGGUAACCUGCUUGAAUGGUAGCUGUGGGCUUGACUCAGGCGAUGGUGCCUAGGUGGACCGUGCAGCAUGCUCAAGCUUUGGUAUCUCACAGACCCGAGGUUCAGGUCUUGGCCAUGUCACUUCCUCCUGGUGGACUGUGAGCUGAAUUUCCUACCUCAUAGGGUUGCUAUGAGCUCCACAUGCUGAGGCUGGUAUCUUUUGGUCAGGGUGACUGCUCAUCCCAGAUUCUUCCUUCUGCUGAGACUCUGUUCUUGUUCACCCUCUGAUAGGAGCUGAAGGGGUGAGAGGUGAGCAUCUGGCUCUAGUUGGGCCAGUCAGUUCUCUCUCUCAGGAAUAAGCAGGAUGUGCAGGGAUACUACUUCAGGUUCUGUGGGUCACUUACCUGGGGACGUCUAAACUCGAACUGUGAGUAUGUGUGUCUACACAUGUGUGUGUGUGUCUAUGUGUGGAAGGUAGGGGGUGAUGGUAACUUGCCCCCAAAACACAGGGCCGCAUGGGGACAGGAUGAGCAUUUUAGGUUGUAGUCCAUGCAACAACCCUGCUGAGCUCCUCACCACUCUGAAUACAGCCACCCUUAUGCCCUCUGUGACCUCUGCCUGGUUGUGAGUGUCUCAGAUGCUUUCUCUUCUUUUUGACCUAGCCCAGAACAUCUCCUACAGGCAGCCUUCCUGAAUUCCUCCAGAGAGGGCCAUUGGCUUCCUCCUAGCAGUAUUUUAGGGCUGGGAGGGUCCAGCUAUUUAGUACCUUAAUUACUAUGGUCAUUGAGUUUAUCCAUUUAAUUGUCUUUCUUCCCUAUCCUAGGGGGAGGUGCUCAUCUUAGUCAUCUGUGUAUUCACAGUUUCUCACACGAGGCCUGGAAUUGAGAUCUGUCUCCAAAGCUUACUGCUUCCCCAGGAGGAUGCUUCUCUGGUAUGUUUUUCCAUCUGAAUGUGUGUGAUUUUCUUUCAUCACCAUUCUCCACCUAUGGCAAGAAUUUCUCUGGGAUGUGAACCCAGGAGUGAGGUUCCUAGGUCACAGGCUACACUCUACUUCAUUGGAUGAAGAACUGCCAGAUCACUUCUGGAAUGGCUGCCCCGGUCUAAGCUCCCACCCACAGUUGCAUGAGAGUUUCUAUUUCCCUAAAUCCCCAAGCACACUGGGCAUUGUUCAAUUUUUAAAUUGCUGGUAGAUGUGCAGUAAAAUCUUGUUUUAAGUUUGAAUGUCUUUCGGAUUACUAAUGGGCUUGUAAUCAUACACUCAUUUGUCAUUUGAAUUUGAAUUCAGAUAAUUCCAGCUCCAAAGCCUGCAGUAUCACAAAGUGAUCAAUAAAGUGGCCUCUGGGGCCACAUUGCCAGGGUUCAA
Manis javanica (Malayan pangolin) is the source of this 1551-nucleotide non-coding RNA. The record is from RefSeq and is a predicted model, not a curated record. Lineage: Eukaryota; Metazoa; Chordata; Mammalia; Pholidota; Manidae.